This 76-nucleotide transfer RNA is filed under the name Oscillospiraceae bacterium. RNAcentral describes it as "tRNA-Pro". It matches the Rfam family "tRNA". From Rfam's summary of the family: Transfer RNA (tRNA) molecules are approximately 80 nucleotides in length. Their secondary structure includes four short double-helical elements and three loops (D, anti-codon, and T loops). Further hydrogen bonds mediate the characteristic L-shaped molecular structure. tRNAs have two regions of fundamental functional importance: the anti-codon, which is responsible for specific mRNA codon recognition, and the 3' end, to which the tRNAs corresponding amino acid is attached (by aminoacyl-tRNA synthetases). tRNAs cope with the degeneracy of the genetic code in two manners: having more than one tRNA (with a specific anti-codon) for a particular amino acid; and 'wobble' base-pairing, i.e. permitting non-standard base-pairing at the 3rd anti-codon position. Lineage: Bacteria; Bacillati; Bacillota; Clostridia; Eubacteriales; Oscillospiraceae. The record is from RNAcentral. RNAcentral also lists the same sequence under 1 other name.
CCGGGUGUAGCGCAGUUGGUAGCGCGCCAGCUUUGGGAGCUGGAUGUCGUGCGUUCGAGUCGCACCACUCGGACCA